CCUACGGGAGGCAGCAGUGGGGAAUAUUGCACAAUGGGCGAAAGCCUGAUGCAGCGACGCCGCGUGAGGGAUGACGGCCUUCGGGUUGUAAACCUCUUUCAGCAGGGAAGAAGCGAAAGUGACGGUACCUGCAGAAGAAGCGCCGGCUAACUACGUGCCAGCAGCCGCGGUAAUACGUAGGGCGCAAGCGUUGUCCGGAAUUAUUGGGCGUAAAGAGCUCGUAGGCGGCUUGUCACGUCGGGUGUGAAAGCCCGGGGCUUAACCCCGGGUCUGCAUUCGAUACGGGCUAGCUAGAGUGUGGUAGGGGAGAUCGGAAUUCCUGGUGUAGCGGUGAAAUGCGCAGAUAUCAGGAGGAACACCGGUGGCGAAGGCGGAUCUCUGGGCCAUUACUGACGCUGAGGAGCGAAAGCGUGGGGAGCGAACAGGAUUAGAUACCCUGGUAGUCCACGCCGUAAACGGUGGGAACUAGGUGUUGGCGACAUUCCACGUCGUCGGUGCCGCAGCUAACGCAUAAGUUCCCCGCCUGGGGNGGACGGCCGCGAGACGAAACUACAAAGAAGUAAGUACGG
Molecule: ribosomal RNA, 569 nt
Filed under: uncultured bacterium
Lineage: Bacteria
Description: bacterial SSU rRNA
Rfam family: Bacterial small subunit ribosomal RNA
Source: RNAcentral